Molecule: ribosomal RNA, 446 nt
Filed under: uncultured bacterium
Lineage: Bacteria
Description: bacterial SSU rRNA
Rfam family: Bacterial small subunit ribosomal RNA
Source: RNAcentral
UCCAGACUCCUACGGGAGGCAGCAGUGGGGAAUAUUGCACAAUGGGGGAAACCCUGAUGCAGCGACGCCGCGUGAGUGAAGAAGUAUUUCGGUAUGUAAAGCUCUAUCAGCAGGAACGAGACAAGACGGUACCUGACUAAGAAGCCCCGGCUAACUACGUGCCAGCAGCCGCGGUAAUACGUAGGGGGCAAGCGUUAUCCGGAUUUACUGGGUGUAAAGGGAGCGUAGACGGCAAUACAAGUCGGAAGUGAAAUACCCGGGCUCAACCUGGGAACUGCUUUGGAAACUGUAUGGCUGGAGUGCUGGAGAGGUAAGCGGAAUUCCUAGUGUAGCGGUGAAAUGCGUAGAUAUUAGGAGGAACACCAGUGGCGAAGGCGGCUUACUGGACAGUAACUGACGUUGAGGCUCGAAAGCGUGGGGAGCAAACAGGAUUAGAUACCCCUGUA